ACUUGGCCUUCAGCCCCUGCCUCGGCCAGAGGUUUCAUUUUUAACUGAAUAUUUACGAAAGCUGAAAGCGUGCGAGGGGGGUGGGGUGGAAAUAGCGGCUGCUUCUUUUCCAAGGAUUUAUUUAAUGGGGAUGUGUUCAAGGCAAGACCGAAUUCAGAAGGAUAUCGACGUCGUGAUCCAGAAGUCCAGAGCUGAGGACUGCCUGUUUGCAGGACAACUGUGCAGACUACAAAGCUUCGGAAAACCGGAGAGGCUGAGUCGACUAAUCGUGUUGUUGCACGUUAGAAACGCUUGCAUUGCCUGACUCUGAAACCAGAAGGGCGGCCGAAUGGCCUUCACCCUCCAUUAACCCUCGCCUCCUUCAGAAGCCAGUGCCUCUGGAAAUGCCUGGAUCUGCGACCCCAGCCUGAGCCUAGUAGGGCCCAAGGGAAGCUGAACGCCCCGACGGCUCUCAUGGGCACCGGCAACAGUUUUCCGUUUGUGCCUACUCCACCUGCUGUCUUUGUUGGGUCAGCGAACAUCGCCUCCCUCUACCGCUCAAUCAGCAAAAGGGACCGCCCUUGAGGACCUCACCCGCGGCUCACUCCCCUCCCAACUUCGCGGGCAUCGCCUCCGGUCGCCUCUUCCGAAGGCCUAACGAGCAUGUUAGCUGCGAACGGAGGUGAGGAGGCUCCGCUGACUGACCGGUGCCCAUGUCCAGGGCACGCACAAACGCCAUGACUUGGCUUGGCCUCUCUCUUAGUUAUUCACAAGCUCAGCCCGAUAGGCACCUCUGGGGCGGCGACGGCAAAGAGGGUGCGCUUAUUAAGUGCAGCUCCACGGGGACUGGCCUCUGCACGGCUGUGUACACCUGAGCGAGACGCUCAGUCGCUCUCUAAAGCCGCUUCUGCGGAUGACAGACACGGAGAUAAACGUGAGAGGUGGCCCACCACGACUUGCCCUCCUUUGCCCGGGUUUGCCCCUCGCUGCGGAGGCUGUUCUACAUCUGGCCCUUGGAGCAGGCCGGCUGACAGCGUGGUAAAGGAAGAUUUCUGCGGGAGGGCGGCCAGUGCAAAACAAUUCCCUGACCGGGAAUCGAACCCGGGCCGUGGCGCUUUCAGCACCGAAUCCUAGCCACUAGACAACCAUGCAGAUGCGG
Molecule: long non-coding RNA, 1138 nt
Filed under: Homo sapiens (human)
Lineage: Eukaryota; Metazoa; Chordata; Mammalia; Primates; Hominidae
Description: non-protein coding lnc-PPIAL4D-19:11
Source: RNAcentral